GACGAACGCUGGCGGCGUGCUUAACACAUGCAAGUCGUACGGUAAGGCCCUUUCGGGGGUACACGAGUGGCGAACGGGUGAGUAACACGUGAGUAACCUGCCCACAACUUUGGGAUAACGCUAGGAAACUGGUGCUAAUACUGGAUAUGUGCUCCUGCUGCAUGGUGGGGGUUGGAAAGCUCCGGCGGUUGUGGAUGGACUCACGGCCUAUCAGCUUGUUGGUGGGGUAGUGGCCUACCAAGGCGGCGACGGGUAGCCGGCCUGAGAGGGUGACCGGCCACAUUGGGACCGAGAUACGGCCCAGACUCCUACGGGAGGCAGCAGUGGGGAAUAUUGCACAAUGGGCGCAAGCCUGAUGCAGCAACGCCGCGUGCGGGAUGACGGCCUUCGGGUUGUAAACCGCUUUCAGCAGGGACGAAGCUUUUUGUGACGGUACCUGCAGAAGAAGCACCGGCUAACUACGUG
Molecule: ribosomal RNA, 465 nt
Filed under: uncultured bacterium
Lineage: Bacteria
Description: partial 16S ribosomal RNA
Rfam family: Bacterial small subunit ribosomal RNA
Source: RNAcentral